AUUGAACGCUGGCGGUAUGCUUUACACAUGCAAGUCGAACGGUAACAGGUUAAGCUGACGAGUGGCGAACGGGUGAGUAAUGCAUCGGAACGUGCCCGAUCGUGGGGGAUAACGCAGCGAAAGCUGCGCUAAUACCGCAUACGAUCUGAGGAUGAAAGCGGGGGACCGUAAGGCCUCGCGCGAUCGGAGCGGCCGAUGUCAGAUUAGGUAGUUGGUGGGGUAAAGGCUCACCAAGCCGACGAUCUGUAGCUGGUCUGAGAGGACGACCAGCCAGACUGGGACUGAGACACGGCCCAGACUCCUACGGGAGGCAGCAGUGGGGAAUUUUGGACAAUGGGCGAAAGCCUGAUUCAGCAAUGCCGCGUGCAGGAAGAAGGCCUUCGGGUUGUAAACUGCUUUUGUACGGAGCGAAAAGGCUCUCUCUAAUACAGGGGGCUCAUGACGGUACCGUAAGAAUAAGCACCGGCUAACUACGUGCCAGCCGCCGCCGUAA
This 493-nucleotide ribosomal RNA is filed under the name uncultured bacterium. RNAcentral describes it as "partial 16S ribosomal RNA". It matches the Rfam family "Bacterial small subunit ribosomal RNA", at positions 30 to 523 of the family's 1533-position model. The record is from RNAcentral.